AACGAACGCUGGCGGCAUGCCUAACACAUGCAAGUCGAACGAGACCUUCGGGUCUAGUGGCGCACGGGUGCGUAACGCGUGGGAACCUGCCCUUAGGUUCGGAAUAACGCCCCGAAAGGGGUGCUAAUACCGGCUAAUGUCUUCGGACCAAAGAUUUAUCGCCUUUGGAUGGGCCCGCGUUGGAUUAGCUAGUUGGUAGGGUAAAAGCCUACCAAGGCGACGAUCCAUAGCUGGUUUGAGAGGAUGAUCAGCCACACUGGGACUGAGACACGGCCCAGACUCCUACGGGAGGCAGCAGUGGGGAAUAUUGGACAAUGGGCGAAAGCCUGAUCCAGCAAUGCCGCGUGAGUGAUGAAGGCCUUAGGGUUGUAAAGCUCUUUUACCCGGGAUGAUAAUGACAGUACCGGGAGAAUAAGCUCCGGCUAACUCCGUG
Molecule: ribosomal RNA, 433 nt
Filed under: uncultured bacterium
Lineage: Bacteria
Description: partial 16S ribosomal RNA
Rfam family: Bacterial small subunit ribosomal RNA
Source: RNAcentral